GUAGUCCUAGCCGUAAACGGUGCAUAUUUGCUGUAAAAGGAAUCGACCCCUUUUGUGGCGUAGCCAACGCGUUAAAUAUGCCGCCUGGGAAGUACGGUCGCAAGAUUAAAACUCAAAGAAAUUGACGGGGCCUGCACAAGCGGUGGAGUAUGUGGCUCAAUUCGAUGCAACGCGAAGAACCUUACCUGGCCUUGACAUGUAUGUAGUAGAAGGGUGAAAGCCUGACGACCUCGCAAGAGGAGCAUACACAGGUGCUGCAUGGCUGUCGUCAGCUCGUGUCGUGAGAUGUUGGGUUAAG
RNAcentral lists this ribosomal RNA (298 nucleotides) under uncultured bacterium. RNAcentral describes it as "partial 16S ribosomal RNA". It matches the Rfam family "Bacterial small subunit ribosomal RNA", at positions 790 to 1084 of the family's 1533-position model. The record is from RNAcentral.